GGCUUCUUCUUGGCUGUAAAUUGUAAAAUUUGCCUCAGACAAUCUCGGGACGCCGAGAGAGAAGGCAGCUUGGCUUGGGAGCCAUUCUGAAGACCUGGGUCGGAAGAAAGAAAGAAAGAAAGAAAGAAAGAAAGAAAGAAAGAAAGGGCAGCCGCGGCUAGAAGGCCCGAAGAGACAGGCUCCGUUUCUGAAGCAGAAAUGGCAAAGCCUUGUGAAACGGAUGGAAGAAAUAAAGGCAAAAUUUUUGAAAAUUUCCACAGCUUUUUCUAAAGGGACCAGCGCUGAAUUCAAGUCAACGUGAAGAAAGAAACAAAAGGUCGAGAGACAGAGGACGGAAGAUGCUUGAAGACACCCUCGCAAGGACACCGCCUGCCUCCCAAAAAAGGUCGUUUUCAGGGUAAUUGGUGUAAGGGUAGGCAUUUAAUGUCUAUCUUUGCAUUAAAAAAAGGGUUACCUUUGCACACGGUUCCCCUCGCGUGUGGCAUCGAAGAAGUCCCACUCGGGAAUGGACGGGUCCUCCCUUUGUUCUAGGCAGAUGAUGGGUCUUCCUAUACGGGCCGUAGGGGUCACAGCUUGGGGGUCAGCGGGGGGCCCCGCCCUGGCAUCGUGGGGGGCAGCACACAUUACGGGCAUUUUAAGAUGUCCUUGCAACUUAGAAAUAAAAAUAUCAAUACCUUAACUCACUUACUAACUAAUAAUUAUUAUUAUUAUUGAUUCGAGGCACCUGGAAAAAGAAAUACCAGGAAGCAGAUAAAAUUAUUAUUAUUAUUACUGAUUCGAGGCACCUGGAAAAAGAAAUACCAGGAAGCAGAUAUUAUUAUUAUUAUUAUUAUUAUUAUUAUUAUUAUUAUUAUUAUUAUUGAUUCCAGGAAAAAGAAAUACCAGGAAGCAGAUAAAAUUAUUAUUAUUGUUACUGUUGUUGUUAUUAUGUAGGACCCCCUUUUAUUUAUGUAAGGCCACACACCCAGGGGACCACUAUUCCUAAUUAAAGCCUGGUUAAAGGGGAUCCUCUAUUCUUAAAGUUAGGCGUAUAGAGAUCUCCUAUCCAGAAACUAACGCGGCCUGCCCUAUAGAGAUCUGUUAAACCAAGGUGGCCUGCCCUAUAGAGAUCUCCUAUUUCACGUAAUACCAGGCAAUAUGGAGAUCCCUGGUUUUUUUUAACAGUUAAAUCCCUUACGUGGGAAUAUCCCUGGUUUUUUUUAACCGUUAAAUCCCUUACGUGGGGAAAUCCCUGGUUAUUUUAACCAUUAAAUCCCUUACGUGGGGAGAUCCCUGGUUAUUUUAACCUUUAAGUCCCUAACGUGGGGAAAUCCCUGGUUUUUUUAAUCUUUAAGGCCAGAUGUGGGGAUUUCCUUGCUUCUUUUAACCCGUAAGGCCAGCCAUGGGGAGAUAUCUUAGGCUGUUUUCACGAAAAGUCAGGUAUAGACGCACUGUUUUCUCUCCCGUUCCAUGUGCCUGGGCUCCUGCCGGACACCGUCUCCCAUCAGCCGAGAGGGAUCCUUCUUGUCUAGGAAGGAUCUGCAACACAGGUAAAAAGAAGAUUCCGGGAAGGAGAUUCUACAGCGGAGCCCUUAAGCCAGGUGAGACACUCCUUCCAGCCUCCACGGCUGCCUUGCACACACACACACACACGACACACACAACACACAUACACAUGUACAGCUGGGGUCCACGGGGACUCUUCCCCAAUAGAUCGGGGACUCCCACUCCGGCGAUUGGCCAUUGUAAAUGCCUUGAAGCAGUUUGGGGCUUCCGGCCAAGCGCUUGCAAAGAGAAUCCAUUCAAGGUUGGACCCCCUUUUAAAGGGCCUGGCACGUGGUAUUUAUUCCUGGCACGUGGAAAACUCCAUUUGUAAGGCAAACCCUCGUUAAAGGAGGUUUGCAAUUAAUUUAAAACCAGGCUUCUGAGGGACCCGCUGCGUUUAAAGCCAAACCUAGCAGGUGGGAACCCCUUUGGUUAACGUAAGGCGAGGGACCCUCCAUAUUUAAUAAGAUGCCUGGCAGAAUCUUAACCUAAAUGCAGGCCUAUGGGCUACAGCCUAUUCUGCAUAGCCAGGCGUGGGGGGACCCCAGAUUAUUAACUUGAGGCCUGGGAAAAGGAGAUUUUUGUAUUUAUUUAUUACAAUAUUUAUAUCCCGCCCUCUCUCCCCUUAAAAGGGGACUCAGAGCAGCUUACGUUAUAUUUACAUAUUUAUUUAUUACAAUAUUUAUAUCCCGACCUCUCCCCUUAAAAGGGGACUCAGAGUGGCUUACAAGUUAUAUUUACAUAUUUAUUUAUUACAAUAUUUAUAUCCCGCCCUCUCUCCCCUUAAAAGGGGACUCAGAGCAGCUUACAAGUGAUAUUUACAUAUUUAUUUAUUACAAUAUUUAUAUCCGGCCCUCUCUCCCCUUAAAAGGGGACUCAGAGCGGCUUACAAGUGAUAUUUACAUAUUUAUUUAUUACAAUAUUUAUAUCCCACCCUUCUCACCCAACAGGGGACUCAGGGCGGCUUAACAAUAAGACGCAUAUAUAAAAAACCAUACAGUGCAAUAUAAAUCAUCAUUAACUUACAUCAGUAUUCAUAAAACACAUUAUAAAAUACAGAUAGGUGUGUUCAGUUCAAAUCCAUUCAAGGUAUACGUGGACCCCCUUUUAAUGCCAACCUUUCCACGUGGAAAACUCCAUUUGUAAGGCAAACCCUCGUUAAAGGAGGUUUGCAAUUAAUUUAAAACCAGGCUUCUGAGGGACCCGCUGCGUUUAAAGCCAAACCUAGCAGGUGGGGAACCCCUUUGGUUAACGCAAGGUGAGGGACCCUCUAUUUUUAAUAGGAUGCCUGGGAGAAUCUUAACCUAAAUGCAGGCCUAUGGGCUACAGCCUAUUCUGCAUAGCCAGGCAUGGGGGGACCCCAUAUGAUGAAUUUGAAGCCUGGUAAAAGGAGAUUUUUGUAUUUAUUAACUUACUACAUUUAUAUCCCGCCCUCUCUCCCCUUAAAAGGGGACUCAGAGCGGCUUACGAGUUAUAUUUACAUAUUUAUUUAUUUAUUACAAUAUUUAUAUCCCGCUGUCUCCCCUUAAAGGGGACUCAGCGGCUUACGAGUUAUAUUUACAUAUUUAUUUAUUUAUUACAAUAUUUAUAUCCCGCUGUCUCUCCCCUUAAAGGGGACUCAGAGCGGCUUACAAGUUAUAUUUACAUAUUUAUUUAUUUAUUACAAUAUUUAUAUCCCGCCCUCUCUCCCCUUAAAGGGGACUCAGGGCAGCUUAACAAUAAAACGCAUAUAUAAAAACCAUACAGUGCAAUAUAAAUCAUCAUUAACUUACAUCAGUAUUCAUAAAACACAUCAUAAAAUACAGAUAGGUGUAUUACAUACACUGUAUCAUUAGCAUCGCACAAUAUUAGCAUUAUAUACUACAUUGUAUUAUACCACUAGACAGAAACAUUAUUAGCAAUAUUACAUUUAAUAUAUAAUAUGUAAUUCAUAUUAUAUUGUAUCAUUGUUAGUAUUAUAUUGCAUUAUUUAUUUAUUUGCUAGAUGUAUAUGCUGCCCUUCUCACCCCCAAGGUGAACAGCUUACAAAUUAAAUUUACAUACAAUAUUAUAUUAUAACCAUAGUACAAUACUGGCAGUAAAUUACUAUAUUGUACUAUAUGAAUAUAUGGUAAUAUUAUUAGUAGUAUUACAUGCAAAAUGUAAUACAUAAUUAAUAUUAUAUUUAAUUAUUAGUAUAUCGUUUUACAAUAUAAUAUGAACAUUAUAUGUAUAUGCAAUAUGUUAUAAUUAUAUAUUAAAUUUUAUAUAUAUAUACAUAUAUAUGUAUAUAUAUGUGUGUGUGUGUGUGUGUGUGUGUGUGUGUGUGUGUGUAUACACACACACAUACAUAUAUAUACACACAGUAGAGUCAUCCAACAUAAAUGGGCCAGCGAAUAUUUAUUUAUUUAUUUACAGUAUUUUACCGGGCUGGCCUCAAACUCAUGAUCUCCUGGUCAGAGUGAUUUGUUGAUAUUUAUUAUUCAUUUACAGCAUGUAUAUUCCGCCCUUCCUUCUCACCCCGAAGGGGACUCAGGGCGGAUCACAUGACACAUAUAGGCAAACAUUCAAUGCCUUUUAACAUAGAACAAAGACAAACAAACAGGCUCCGAGCGGGCCUCGAACUCGUGACCUCCUGGUCAGAGUGAUUCAUUGCAGUUAAUUGCAGCUGGCUUGCUUUCCAGCCUGCGCUGUUGGAUAAUAAGGAGGCAUUAUGGAAAAGCCUAUUAAACAUCAAAUUAGUUGAUGAUUUUACAAAUUAAGCACCAAAACAUCAUUUGACAGAAAAAGUAGUUCAAUAUGCAGUAAUGCUAUGUAGUAAUUACUGUAUUUACGGAUUUAGCACCAAAAUAUCACGACGCAUUGAAAACAUGGACUACAAAAAUGCGUUGAAUAAUCCAGAAUGUUGGAUAAGAGAGUGUUGGAUGAGACUACUGUAUAUACAAUAUAAAUUAGAAUAGCAUGUUAUUGGGGGAGGAGCAUCUUGGUUAUUAGAUGUUUUUAUUAGUUAUUGAUAUUAGUAUAGAUAUGACAUUGAGUAUAUAUUAUCCUAGCACAAUGUUAAUAUUAGUUAUUGAUAUUAGUCUCCAUAUGACAUUAAUAGAGUAUAUUAUUAUUCUAGCUCAAUGUUAUUACAUAGGACAAUGUUGUUGCUAGGGGGAGGGCCCCCCCACUGAUUGUAUUAUUAGUAUUAUGUUGUUGCUAGGGGGAGGGCCCCCCAACUGAGGUCCCCUGUCAUUAAUGUGUCAGACCAGGCAUUUCACUCCUACCUUUGCAUCAGAAAGCAGGCUCCCUGUGCGCUAGGCCUUCCUUUGAGGAACACAUUCACAGCUCCGCUUGAGUGUGGCAUUGAGGCCCCACUCAGGGACGGGCGGGUCCUCCCUUUGCCCUGGGCAGAUCGUGGGGGGUGGGCGGAUCUCCCUAGACGGGCAGGGGGUCGCGGCUGGCGGGACAGCGGGAUAUAAAAAUAUAAAUAUAUAUAUAAAAACCCUUGCACCCAAGGAAACAACUCUGGGGACCCGAGCGGCUGCUCCCAGCUCACGUCACGGGCAUUUUAAACAUCUCGUAGCAGCUCAGAUUAAUACCUGAACUAACCUUAACCUGCUAACCCUACUAACCCAUUUCUAACUAGAGCAGGAAUUUUAAAUAGGGCUGUUUUUGCCUGUUGGCAAGAACCAAGCCGGGAGGGGGCGUCCGGGCCUCGGGUGGGAAGAACCCUAACCCUGUCCCUGCCCUGCGCUGGGAGCGGCCCCCCCCCCUCGGGACCCCAGUGUUUGGUCCCCGCUCUCCCCCAAUCCGACGGCCUAGAAAGCCCCUCCGCCAUCCGCCCAGGGCCAACGGACAGCCCUCCCUCCCCGGCAGCUGCGUUCCUCAUGCAACAGGGAGCCUGGUUCUGGAUGCAAACGUGGGACCCCCUUAGGACCCCCUUUUCUCUGUGCAGGGACCCCCGCUCCCCAUAAAUAAAUGCCUGGUGGAAGGGGAUCCUAGUAGAAAAAGCCACAGUUCCCAAGAGCCCCCAAAAGCGAGAUGCUCCCUUGGUUCAGCCCUUCUGACACUUGUUUUCUCCCUUGUUCUAUGUCUCCGGAAUCGCCGAGGGAGGGGCUCCUCCUGGACAAGAGCCAAGGACGGACAGAUGGACGGACGGACGGACGGAAGGAGAUCCCAGAGAGCAGGACGCCUUGCCUUUCUGGCUGCUGAGCUUGACCCCUUUCCAACAAUGUCAGCGUUCAAGAAUAAAACUCUUCCCAAAAAAAGGUGUUUUCUGGUUAUUAUUCAAACGUUUAAUUUUUGACAGCCUUAAACAUCUAGAUUACAAUACAGUUUGUGCUGCUGCCUUUUAUAAACUUUGUUUUCUACAAAUAAAGUCAAGAGAAACACUAUAAGUUUUGCACUGUGCUCAGACUCAUUGUUCUGAUAUUCUGUUAUAUGGUUUUAUUAUUUAUAUCGUUUUUAAUGUAUGACUUUAUUACAUGUGACAUGGGAGCGGGGUAUAAAAAUAAAGUAUUAUUAUUAAUAAACACCACAAUUUUCUUGCACCCCAAGUACAUCUGGCCAUUGCCAAAGAGUAUUUAACUCUGCCUACAUGGCACUAAAGUGUAUUUAUAUGUUGAUUGUUUCUAUUGAUUUUAUGUAAUGUUUGCUUUGUUUGCAUUGAAUUUUUGUCUGGAUGUAUCUUGUAUGCCGCUCAUCUCCAUAAAUGAGCGGGAUAGAAAUGAGGUUAAUAAUUUGACGAAUGUUUUAAUGUAACUUGAAUUUUAAAUUGAGUUGUAAUGUGAUUGUAAUUGUUUAUAAGUGUUAUCUAUUUGUAAACCACCCUGAGUCUCCUCUUAUUGGGUGAGAAGGUCUGGGAAGAAAUACAGAAUAAAAUAUUCUGUGUCCAGGUUGCUUCAUGGGUUGACUUUUCUGGCAGGAUUAAUCUGCAGGGCCUUUCCUGUGGGAAAGUUUACACAGGGACUAACAAGCAUGGAGCAGGGAAGGCACUGCAGACAGUCCUGCGCAUGCGCGGACUGCUCCCUAGUAGAAACUUGGCCCCGCCCACUACAGGCACCCCUUUCCCUUCUGGUCUUUCUAUGUUCCAUUUCGCAUUGCGGGGGUCUCUUUACUUUUCAUACCUCUAUGUUCUAUUUCCGCAUUGCAGGGGCGCUCUUUACUUUUCGUUCCUCUAUGUUCCUCCUAUCCCUCCCUUUCCCGCCUCCGCCCUCUUCUCCCAUUGGUUGUUGCUUGGGAGAUCCCGCCCCUUUCCCCUUCCUUCGCUCCCUCAUUGGUCGAAGCGCGUCCUGGCAGAUAUGUAGGGCGGGGGCGUUUCCCAUCGUAGCCGCAAUAAUACAAAAUAAAAAAUAAUAUCAGAGAUAUAUAGUAUUCGAGCUUAUUAAUAAUCGUUACGUAUGAUUAUGUUGUUUGAAUAUUAGGUCCAUGGAUGUGUCAGGGUUGGCGACGGAAGGGACGGGUUGUGUGAUGGACCUGCCAGGACUUGGGGGCGGGGCAAGGGGCGUGGCCUGGCGCGUGAGAGCCGGGGAAGGGAACAGCCAAGAUGGCGGCCGGGCAGUGGCCCAUGUACAUGCUGGACUACGGCGGCCUCAAUGUUCCGCUUCCGGGAGCCAUGAAUUAUUCGGACCUCAGUUUCUGAACCAGAACCUCCGAACAAAACAAAACAAAAGAAAUAAUGAACGGUGUGUAAUUUCCGUUUGUACAAAGUGUAUAUUAUUCCAAUAUGUAUUGAUGCCUUUCAGUUUUUCCAAUGAUUUUUACACUAUAUUCCUGCCGCCAGGGCCUUUUUAAAUAAAAAAAGAAUAAGAAGGGUUGCCUUGCUCUGAAAAAUCAAA
Long non-coding RNA from Anolis carolinensis (green anole), 7325 nucleotides. RefSeq lists it as uncharacterized. The record is from RefSeq and is a predicted model, not a curated record. NCBI's taxonomy places the organism in Eukaryota, Metazoa, Chordata, Lepidosauria, Squamata, Anolidae. The transcript has 4 exons.